This 251-nucleotide ribosomal RNA is filed under the name uncultured bacterium. RNAcentral describes it as "partial 16S ribosomal RNA". It matches the Rfam family "Bacterial small subunit ribosomal RNA", at positions 524 to 776 of the family's 1533-position model. The record is from RNAcentral.
GACGGGGGGGGCAAGUGUUCUUCGGAAUGACUGGGCGUAAAGGGCACGUAGGCGGUGAAUCGGGUUGAAAGUGAAAGUCGCCAAAAAGUGGCGGAAUGCUCUCGAAACCAAUUCACUUGAGUGAGACAGAGGAGAGUGGAAUUUCGUGUGUAGGGGUGAAAUCCGUAAAUAUACGAAGGAACGCCAAAAGCGAAGGCAGCUCGCUGGGACGGUACUGACGCUGAGACGCGAAAGCGUGGGGAGCAAACAGG